GCCGCAAAACAGGACUCUUGUUAGAAUAAUGAUUGUUAUGUAGUGUGAUUAUUUGCGAAACGUGGUGAAGAACGAAAAUUUCGUAAUAGAACUCGGUAUUCGUUCAUUGUAAUGUAUAUCUACGGUUUCCAAUAACAAGAAGACGAAGCAAAAAGGAAGAGCAAGGUUAUACGAACGUCUCUUUUCUUUGUCAAUUGGUACUAGCUUCCCCUAGGAUAUUCGCAGAAGAAGUCGGAGGCUGGGGAUUGUCGUAGCAUCAGGGAUGACUGGUCGAACCUCCCGGCAUUUUAUCUGGUAAUGUGGUUAGCCGACAUGCAUCUUCUUUCCCCGCAAUGCAAAGCAGACUUGGACAUGGUGUUCAUCGCCAGAAUGGGUUUCUUCAUGAUCUUUGUGCUGUUGACGGAGGACGACGAAGAGGAGGCUGCACACUCGCCGCAUUCAGUCUCGUCGCUGUGAUCCGCACAAUCCAAGUAGCCGUCGCAUCGCCAGUCAACCGGAAUGCAUCUGGUCCCAUCGCAUUGGAACCCACUGGUGCAUACUGUGCAACGCAUGCAUCAAGAAAUGGCUAACAGUACAGUUCUUUUCUACAUACUACGUACACUCGCGUUUCUCCAUCGUCUAUUUUAUUUCCAAUUUUUCUCAUCUUGUUUUUUACGUUUUUCUCUGUUCAGAGUUUUCGAUGGUCGCGUAAUGGAAGAGGAACAGAUGAAACGUGAAAAUGUAAAAAAAUUGAAAGAAUAGCGGAUCAGAGAAUGCAUGAUAAAUGGCUGUGAUUGUCUUCUGGUUGGGGAUUUGCUCAUUGUAAUGCUGAGGUAUUACGGGACGGUAUAGUUAUCCACUUUUUUUAUGUCUUUGUAUUGAGAUAAUUAAUGCAGGAUCGAUAAUGUUAAUCGUCGAUGAGAUUUCUAGGUACAAAUCUUCCCUUUCGAGCAAA
Molecule: long non-coding RNA, 934 nt
Organism: Bombus pascuorum
Lineage: Eukaryota; Metazoa; Arthropoda; Insecta; Hymenoptera; Apidae
Exons: 3
Source: RefSeq, a predicted model, not a curated record